CACACGAUGACGAUUCACGCAAACGAAGAAGAACAAGACCAGACUCCGACCCGGCGUCAGCAUCCGAUUCCAAUGCGGACAGCCAGGACUCGCCGCCGCAGCGGAGUCACAGCCACCACGGCCGACGGCGCCGCGAUUCUGAGGACAGCGACGAUGGCAGGAGGAGGAAGAGAUCGUCUUCGAAGAAGAUUACGGACGAUGGCGUUGCCCAGUACCUUGCCAAGAAAGCUCAGAAGAAGGUGCCGUUAGUAGGUACUGUUUUCGAAGAAGAUUACGGGCAAUGACGUUUAUUUCUGUCCUGGACCGAUUUCUCAUGUUGGACAGCAGUCUACUAGGGGAAGGGUAGUCCGUCGACGAUCUUUGAAACGGUAUGGAUUGGAUCGGGGUUUUGUAUUCUCCAUUAUUUUGCCUAGUUUGAAGAGUUUCCUGAGGAGAUGUAUUUCGGGCUUUGGCUUUGCUCAAGGUCAUCGUCCUCGGCUAUAUCGGGGUAGGGAAGACAUCUUUGAUGAAUCAGCAUCCUAAACUUGGGCAUAUAAACACCACUUUUGCAAGAUCAUUUACUGCUGGUGUAUUAGCAGACAGGGUUUUCGUUAAAAAGUGACAAAUAAAAUUGCUACUUAGUGAUUUUAAUAUUAUGCCAUGUUUGAUUUCUAGAUUAGAGUAACAUUGUAUUACAAAGUAUAUGAGAAUGCAUUUUUAGUAUUUUUCGCUGUGGUAAAUGGCGGAGGGAUUACUUAACCAAGUGCAUAUCAGUUUUACAACGGGGUUUUCAAUGCUUGAAAACUACGUCAUUUUAGUGCAUAAACGGUGCCAUGUGCCCCCUGCAUUUGAGUUCAUUGUGUUAGAAACCACUGUAAUGUUUGUGGUUCUUUAACGAUUACUCCAGAUAUAUCUACAAGAAAUUCAGGCAACAAUAUAUGUCUACAAUUGGAGCCGAUUUUGUCACAAAAGAACCAAAGAUUGAUGGAAAACCGGUCACUUUGGAAAUUUGGGACAUGGCUGGGCAAGAAAGUCUGCAUCCUUGUAUAUGAUGUGAAUAUACUCAAGUCAUUUGAGACACUUCAAAAUUGGCAUGACGAGUUUCUUAAGUAGGUUACAAUCUUUUUGCUCGAUGGUUUAUUUUUAAAGAUUAUACAUGGGCAUUAAACCACUUUAGUUUCCACAUCUCUAUUUGGGUGAGGGUUGCGGUUAUAUAUCAAAUAGAUCUAUUAUUUUCUCUACACAACCAAACAUGAGGAUUGAAUUUGGAAUCUUUUAUUCUUCCUCCUUGUCCUUCAUUUUCCCUCUCCAUAUCUCUUUCCCUCCUCGGAUUGAAAUGGCAAGCGUAGCAUUGUUGGAGUUAUAUAUUGAUCCUAGCUAGGGAGCAACCAUAGAUCAAAUGCGUUCAUUAAGCCAUCUUAUGCAUAGAUACAAUCACAUUAAAGAACAUAAAUAAAGUGAAGGGAUUUCAAGAACAGAUCUCUUGUAGUUCGUUUUUUGCGUAGAGGUUUAAAAAAAGGAAUAACAAACCAGAUUCUAAGAUAGCAUUUGAUACCUCUGGUUUUUGAUGAUUGGUUUGAUAUGUAACUCUAGGCAGAUUCGAAGGAGCCAGAUACAUUUCCUUUCGUGAGAUCUGUUAUCAAUAUGGUGAGGAUGCACUCAAACAAGGAAUGGGUGGUGGCGCUGGUAUGCAUGACCCAUUUGAUAUCUUCCAGCUAUUUUUGGUCGUGGAAGCCUAUUUGGAGCUUGGUUACAAAGGAAUUUAUUGAGCUGCUGCUGAGAGGAAUUGUGGAGAGUAACUGCUGAAGAAAUCAAUGGCUUGCAGAUAGAUAGUAGCUGUGCCUUCUGCCAUUGAUGCCUAUCCGAUAGUCCACCGAAAAGGCAUGAUGUUAGGGGGGCCAUUGAUGCCAUGGAGAAGAUGGCUGAUCAUGCUGUUCUUGCUGAUGUGAUACGCUUUUUGAUUGGAUACCUGCACUUGUCUACUUCCGCUCCUUACAGGCCUUCUUGAAAGCAGCAUGGAUAGUUUCUGGGUUUUGUUUUUCAGUUUCCAAUUUGUGUUACAGGUUGCCAAAUGUCUAACACAUGCUAAGUGUCGCUAUCACCAAUACUCUUCCAUUUCGAAGCCAACUCCUGAAAUUCCAAUAAUGGCUCAUUGGGAAGGAACAGUCAACGGUAUCAUUUUGUACUAAGCAAAACUUUAAUAAUUUACUCCACCUUUGUGCGAAUAGAACCUUUUUUUUAUUACUAUUUGGUUUGUUUGUUUCUGCGACAAUGAGUUUUAGUGCGGUGCAAUAAAUUUCAGUUGAGGAUUUUUAGUUAAUUGAUGAUAACGAUUUGAUUAUUUGAAUUUUCUUGUAGAUAACAAUUUUUGCAUGUGAAUAUCCUAAUUCCUUUUUGAAAAUUCUCGAGGCAUGCUGCUUCUGGCUAGGCGUUCCGCUAUUUUAGUUCUAAUAAUUACUGCUUUUAUCAAUUUUUUUUGCUCAUGAAGAGUAGUGACUGAAUGUUACUGAAGGGUAUAAACUAGCUGUUUGGACGUAAUGUAUAUUACUGAAACUACCUUUUUGAAAGCAUGCAUUCAGUACCAUAUUGGAGAUUAAGU
This is a long non-coding RNA of Rhododendron vialii, 2578 nucleotides long. RefSeq lists it as uncharacterized. The transcript is spliced from 10 exons. Lineage: Eukaryota; Viridiplantae; Streptophyta; Magnoliopsida; Ericales; Ericaceae. The record is from RefSeq and is a predicted model, not a curated record.